AUUGAACGCUGGCGGCAUGCCUUACACAUGCAAGUCGAAAGGCAGCACGGACUUCGGUCUGGUGGCGAGUGGCGAAUGGGUGAGCAAAGUAUCGGAACGUACCCUAGAGUGGGGGAUAACUAUCCGAACGGAUAGCUAGUACCGCAUAUUCUAUGUGUACGAAAGCAGCGGAUCGCAAGACCUUGUGCUCUGGGAGCGGCCGAUAUCAGAUUAGCUAGUUGGUGAGGUAAAGGCACACCAAGACGACGAUCUGUAGCGGGUCUGAGGGGAUGAUCCGCCACACUGGAACUGAGACACGGUCCAGACUCCUACGGGAGGCAGCAGUGGGGAAUUUUGGACAAUGGGGGCAACCCUGAUCCAGCCAUGCCGCGUGAGUGAAGAAGGCCUUCGGGUUGUAAAGCUCUUUCGGCCGGGAAGAAAUCGCACGGGUUAAUACCCUGUGUGGAUGACGGUACCGGAAUAAGAAGCACCGGCUAACUACGUGCCAGCAGCCGCGGUAA
RNAcentral lists this ribosomal RNA (500 nucleotides) under uncultured bacterium. RNAcentral describes it as "partial 16S ribosomal RNA". It matches the Rfam family "Bacterial small subunit ribosomal RNA", at positions 30 to 523 of the family's 1533-position model. The record is from RNAcentral.